GAUGAACGCUAGCUACAGGCUUAACACAUGCAAGUCGCGGGGCAGCAUGGGGGUUGCUUGCAAUCCCCGAUGGCGACCGGCGCACGGGUGAGUAACGCGUAUCCAACCUGCCCUUCACCACGGGAUAACCCGGCGAAAGUCGGACUAAUACCGUAUGUUGUCCAUUGACGGCAUCCGAUUUGGACGAAAGGUUUGGCGGUGAAGGAUGGGGAUGCGUCCGAUUAGCUGGACGGCGGGGUGACGGCCCACCGUGGCGACGAUCGGUAGGGGUUCUGAGAGGAAGGUCCCCCACACUGGAACUGAGACACGGUCCAGACUCCUACGGGAGGCAGCAGUGAGGAAUAUUGGUCAAUGGGCGUAAGCCUGAACCAGCCAAGUAGCGUGCAGGAUGACGGCCCUAUGGGUUGUAAACUGCUUUUAUGCGGGGAUAAAGUGGCCCACGCGUGGGUUUUUGCAGGUACCGCAUGAAUAAGGACCGGCUAAUUCCGUG
RNAcentral lists this ribosomal RNA (490 nucleotides) under uncultured bacterium. RNAcentral's name for it is "partial 16S ribosomal RNA". It matches the Rfam family "Bacterial small subunit ribosomal RNA", at positions 28 to 507 of the family's 1533-position model. The record is from RNAcentral.